RNAcentral lists this long non-coding RNA (388 nucleotides) under Musa acuminata (dwarf banana). RNAcentral's name for it is "long non-coding RNA (MACU_LNC000808)". The record is from RNAcentral. Lineage: Eukaryota; Viridiplantae; Streptophyta; Magnoliopsida; Zingiberales; Musaceae.
GCAUAGCCUUGGAGGCAAAAGGCCACCAGGUUGCUUUGGUUUUUGGCAUUACCAAUGAUUGCAAGAUUGAGCAAAGGAGAGAUCUGGUGAUCAUUCUUGCUUCAUUCAGUAGCCUUGAGAUCACUGGGAGAUCUGAAUCUUCAGAGGUAAGAGAGACACACUGACAUUUGGCAUCCAUCUGCUUCAAAUCUUUAUAGCACUUCUUGAUGGUCUUCUGUGUCUCCUUUCUUGAGCAAAUGUAGGCGUGCACUUUUUCUCCGGUAGAACUGUCACCUCUUCUUCGAAGCGCAAGCUGAAGAUCUUGCGCAUGCUCUUUUGAUGUAACGACUGCAUCCUUCAUGGUGCCACAGAGGUCCAACAACCUCAUUGAUCCAUCCACAUCCUCCUC